GUGGAAGAACAAGCCCAGACACGUUUCUUCACGUAGCCCAAGGAAAACACUUUACCGAACUCAUAUGGGAUGGCCCUGUAAGUUGUGCAGCACUGUUGUACCAACCAAGAGUGACAUUUUAAAGCAUUACAGACUGCACCAUGGGACCUUUGGACACAGCCAUUCCUUGCCUUGCAUUCAUAUUAAUGAAGCGUUCCGAAGGUGCACUGCUGUUCCACUGGAAUCAACAUUUAUGUCCCAACUGGACAGGUACACGCCAAAACUCCUGGAGCUCUUCAGUGCAAAAGGAGGAGUGACUGCAGCGCAUCAAGAACUUGUUGAUGGAACUGAUACAGGUGGGUUAA
Nerophis lumbriciformis (worm pipefish) is the source of this 344-nucleotide long non-coding RNA. RefSeq lists it as uncharacterized. Lineage: Eukaryota; Metazoa; Chordata; Actinopteri; Syngnathiformes; Syngnathidae. The record is from RefSeq and is a predicted model, not a curated record.